ACGUAAUAGAUACCCGGGUAGUCCACGCCGUAAACGUUGGGCGCUAGGUGUGGGAUCCCUUCCACGGGUUCCGUGCCGCAGCUAAACGCAUUAAAGCGCCCCGCCUGGGGAGUACGGCCGCAAGGCUAAAACUCAAAGGAAUUGACGGGGCCCGCACAAGCGGCGGAGCAUGUGGAUUAAUUCGAUGCAACGCGAAGAACCUUACCUGGGUUUGACAUACACCGGAAAGCCAUGGAGACAUGGUCCCCGCAAGGUCGGUGUACAGGUGGUGCAUGGCUGUCGUCAGCUCGUGUCGUGAGAUGUUGGGUUAAGUCCCGCAACGAGCGCAACCCUUGUCCUAUGUUGCCAGCACGUAAUGGUGGGGACUCAUGGGAGACUGCCGGGGUCAACUCGGAGGAAGGUGGGGAUGACGUCAAGUCAUCAUGCCCCUUAUGUCCAGGGCUUCACACAUGCUACAAUGGCCGGUACAGAGGGCUGCGAAGCCGUGAGGUGGAGCGAAUCCCACAAAGCCGGUCUCAGUUCGGAUCGGGGUCUGCAACU
Molecule: ribosomal RNA, 540 nt
Filed under: uncultured bacterium
Lineage: Bacteria
Description: bacterial SSU rRNA
Rfam family: Bacterial small subunit ribosomal RNA
Source: RNAcentral